Molecule: ribosomal RNA, 460 nt
Filed under: uncultured bacterium
Lineage: Bacteria
Description: partial 16S ribosomal RNA
Rfam family: Bacterial small subunit ribosomal RNA
Source: RNAcentral
CCUACGGGAGGCAGCAGUGAGGAAUAUUGGUCAAUGGGCGUAAGCCUGAACCAGCCAAGCCGCGUGAGGGAUGAAGGUUCUAAGGAUUGUAAACUUCUUUUAUAAGGGAACAAAGUGAGGGACGUGACCCGUUUUGUAUGUACCUUAUGAAAAAGGAUCGGCUAACUCCGUGCCAGCAGCCGCGGUAAUACGGAGGAUCCGAGCGUUAUCCGGAUUUAUUGGGUUUAAAGGGUGCGUAGGCGGACUUUUAAGUCAGCGGUGAAAGUCCGGGGCUCAACCGUAGAGUGGCCGUUGAAACUGGGAGGCUUGAGUGUGUGUGAGGCAGGCGGAAUGCGUGGUGUAGCGGUGAAAUGCUUAGAUAUCACGCAGAACCCCGAUUGCGAAGGCAGCCUGCCGGGCCAUGACUGACGCUGAGGCACGAAAGCGUGGGGAUCAAACAGGAUUAGAUACCCUAGUAGUC